Molecule: ribosomal RNA, 492 nt
Filed under: uncultured bacterium
Lineage: Bacteria
Description: partial 16S ribosomal RNA
Rfam family: Bacterial small subunit ribosomal RNA
Source: RNAcentral
AGUGGACGCUGGCGGUAGGCCUAACACAUGCAAGUCGAACGGCAGCACAGUAAGAGCUUGCUCUUACGGGUGGCGAGUGGCGGACGGGUGAGGAAUACAUCGGAAUCUACUUUUUCGUGGGGGAUAACGUAGGGAAACUUACGCUAAUACCGCAUACGACCUACGGGUGAAAGCAGGGGAUCUUCGGACCUUGCGCGAUUGAAUGAGCCGAUGUCGGAUUAGCUAGUUGGCGGGGUAAAGGCCCACCAAGGCGACGAUCCGUAGCUGGCCUGAGAGGAUGAUCAGCCACACUGGAACUGAGACACGGUCCAGACUCCUACGGGAGGCAGCAGUGGGGAAUAUUGGACAAUGGGCGCAAGCCUGAUCCAGCCAUACCGCGUGGGUGAAGAAGGCCUUCGGGUUGUAAAGCCCUUUUGUUGGGAAAGAAAAGCAGCAGGUUAAUACCCCGCUGUUCUGACGGUACCCAAAGAAUAAGCACCGGCUAACUUCGUG